AGCACUAGUGUGUGUUCUUGUUCAGCUAGUGGUGAAAGGCAGGUUAGACAGGUGCAAAAAUAAAUUCUCUUUUGCAACCCAGAACUCGUUGUUAUGUAUGAGUUUUGAUACAUACAAGAAAGAAUUCA
This is a small nucleolar RNA of Meriones unguiculatus (Mongolian gerbil), 128 nucleotides long. NCBI's taxonomy places the organism in Eukaryota, Metazoa, Chordata, Mammalia, Rodentia, Muridae. The record is from Ensembl.